Cucumis melo (muskmelon) is the source of this 647-nucleotide long non-coding RNA. RefSeq lists it as uncharacterized. The record is from RefSeq and is a predicted model, not a curated record. NCBI's taxonomy places the organism in Eukaryota, Viridiplantae, Streptophyta, Magnoliopsida, Cucurbitales, Cucurbitaceae. The transcript has 2 exons.
AGUUUGGUUCCCAAAGACUCGACUGAAUAAAGUCUCUGGCAAGGCUAACGGAAUUGAGGUGGUAGCUAGCCACUUAGACGGAAUGCUUGUCAAAGAAUUGAUGACACCAGGGACUCAACCCUUGAAGCAAAUGCUACUAGGUUGGAUAGCUUUCAACAAGAGGAUAGCUUGAAGGGCUCUAUGGCCCCAUUGAAGAGUGUGUUAUUGGAUUGGACAACUCAAAGAAAGUUACAAUUCAAAUGGUGGAUGAAUUUUCAGAUGACAUUAGAAAAGCCAUCUCGUCGGGACAGAGAUUGUAGAUGUCAAUGCAAGAGUAAAUCUCAUAAUAGAAGCAGUUGGAGACUAAGACCCAGUUGGGAGCAUGACCAGUUUAACCAGGUUGAAGAAUCAUUGCCGAGAUGAGUGGAGAUCAAGGAAGAAGAGCAAGAGAUGGAGGGCUGAAGAAUCGUUGUUGAGAUGAGUGGAGAAGGAAGACGAAGGAAAGAUGGAGGGUUGAAGAGUCCUUGCCGAGAUGAGUGGAGAAGGAAGAUGAACCAGAGAUUUAAGGGUAUUCUGGUGGUGACACGUUAACUUAUGAUUGUUCAACUUCUUUUGUAGAUUUUGGAGGCACAUUAUAGCUAUAUUUUGAAGUUUUUAAAUAUCUUAAA